GUGAGGAAUAUUGGGCAAUGGGCGAAAGCCUGACCCAGCCACGCCGCGUGAGUGAUGAAGGCCUUCGGGUUGUAAAGCUCUGUGGGGAGGGAAGAAAAAGCGGGAGAGUAACUGCUCUCGUGUUGACGGUACCUCCUUAGCAAGCACCGGCUAACUCUGUGCCAGCAGCCGCGGUAAUACAGAGGGUGCGAACGUUGCUCGGAAUUACUGGGCGUAAAGCGCGUGUAGGCUGACAUGCAAGUCGGGUGUGAAAUCCCAGGGCUCAACCUUGGAACUGCACUCGAAACUGCACGUCUUGAGUACUGGAGAGGGAAGCGGAAUUCCGGGUGUAGAGGUGAAAUUCGUAGAUAUCCGGAGGAACACCAGUGGCGAAGGCGGCUUCCUGGACAGUAACUGACGCUGAGACGCGAAAGCGUGGGGAGCAAACAGGAUUAGAUACCCGUGUAGUCC
Molecule: ribosomal RNA, 450 nt
Filed under: uncultured bacterium
Lineage: Bacteria
Description: partial 16S ribosomal RNA
Rfam family: Bacterial small subunit ribosomal RNA
Source: RNAcentral